AGGGACACGCGGAUUCGCGCGUCACAGUGACCCCCACCGUCUCCUGGGAGAUGGGACACUGAGGCUUGGUAAAGCAGGUGAAGCAGGAGGCAACAGUGGGUCGGUGUCGAGGCUCCCACCUGACCUCUCCAGGGGGUCGACAGGAGGUUUCCUGGAUGCCAGGAAAAUGCCAGGGGUGGCGGAAAGUGACAGGGAUGAAGAAACCUCAGGUGGAGUUUCAGAGAGCGGGAUCUCAGCCUCAGGCAGGCCCAGACGGUGUGUGGUGCUGCCCUUAGGUGGGACUGUAACAUAUGCCUGGAUGAUGCACCGGAGUGAUGUGACACUUUUGCCUGAGCCCUGCCCUGAGGGGAUAUUUUUACAUACUGCUGAACUCAGCACCUAG
RNAcentral lists this long non-coding RNA (382 nucleotides) under Callithrix jacchus (white-tufted-ear marmoset). RNAcentral describes it as "lncRNA (ENSCJAG00000069678.1)". Lineage: Eukaryota; Metazoa; Chordata; Mammalia; Primates; Cebidae. The record is from RNAcentral.